This 620-nucleotide long non-coding RNA is filed under the name Cricetulus griseus (Chinese hamster). RNAcentral describes it as "lncRNA (ENSCGRG00015041693.1)". The record is from RNAcentral. Lineage: Eukaryota; Metazoa; Chordata; Mammalia; Rodentia; Cricetidae.
AAGAAGUCCUGGCUUAGGUUUACUGGGAUACCUCCAUCUCUUCCUCUGUCAUUGAUGCAGGCCUUGGGCAGCACGAGCACACCUGGCCCCUAGAAGCAGGCGCCUCUAGCCACGCCCUUCGCACAAGGCGUGGGCGGAGCUUCUGGCGGAAGGGCAAGGAAGGAGGAGGAGGUGACGCGGAAAGCGGGCGCCGGUUUCGCUCAGUGGCUGGGAGGAAGCUCGGCUGCCCAGCCGGCCGCGAGCAGGCCGGAGUCCCGGUCGCUGGCCGGGCUUCUCCGGGUGUGGGCGUGAGCAAGGCAGCGGUCCCGGCCGCUGCAGCGUUCGUCCAGCCAGCGCGUUAGGUGCCGGGAGCAAAGAACGUACAUUAGUUCUCAGAAGCUUCUAUGGAAAAAAGGAAUUCAGCCUUACUGAGAAAUGGAAUACUGGGUUUAGAAGCUUUAAGAAGUUCUAUUUUCCUCAAAAUGUGUGCUUUCUGAGUUAAGGCCAGUUGUUUGGGGUAGACAGUUGAAGCAUUUUCUCUUCAUAUCCAGAAAUCAUGGAUCCAGGAUGUAACUUUGUGCAAAGGCGAAGUCUGGAGUGUGUUAGUACUUUGUAUGCCAAAGUGAAAAGAAAGAACAGCA